AUUGAACGCUGGCGGCAGGCUUAACACAUGCAAGUCGAACGGUAACAUAAAGAAGCUUGCUUCUUUGAUGACGAGUGGCGGACGGGUGAGUAAUGCUUGGGAAUCUAGCUUAUGGAGGGGGAUAACUACGGGAAACUGUAGCUAAUACCGCGUAAUAUCGAAAGAUUAAAGUGUGGGACCUUCGGGCCACAUGCCAUAAGAUGAGCCCAAGUGGGAUUAGGUAGUUGGUGAGGUAAAGGCUCACCAAGCCGACGAUCUCUAGCUGGUCUGAGAGGAUGACCAGCCACACUGGGACUGAGACACGGCCCAGACUCCUACGGGAGGCAGCAGUGGGGAAUAUUGCGCAAUGGGGGCAACCCUGACGCAGCCAUGCCGCGUGAAUGAAGAAGGCCUUCGGGUUGUAAAGUUCUUUCGGUAGCGAGGAAGGCAUUUAGUUUAAUAGACUAGGUGAUUGACGUUAACUACAGAAGAAGCACCGGCUAACUCCGUGCCAGCAGCCGCGGUAAUACGGAGGGUGCGAGCGUUAAUCGGAAUAACUGGGCGUAAAGGGCACGCAGGCGGUGACUUAAGUGAGGUGUGAAAGCCCCGGGCUUAACCUGGGAAUUGCAUUUCAUACUGGGUCGCUAGAGUACUUUAGGGAGGGGUAGAAUUCCACGUGUAGCGGUGAAAUGCGUAGAGAUGUGGAGGAAUACCGAAGGCGAAGGCAGCCCCUUGGGAAUGUACUGACGCUCAUGUGCGAAAGCGUGGGGAGCAAACAGG
RNAcentral lists this ribosomal RNA (759 nucleotides) under Parahaemophilus parainfluenzae. RNAcentral's name for it is "Haemophilus parainfluenzae bacterial SSU rRNA". It matches the Rfam family "Bacterial small subunit ribosomal RNA", at positions 28 to 776 of the family's 1533-position model. Lineage: Bacteria; Pseudomonadati; Pseudomonadota; Gammaproteobacteria; Pasteurellales; Pasteurellaceae. The record is from RNAcentral.